CCAACGAAACUAAUACCAGCUGCGCCACGGCGGGCUUGCUGCUACUAUUGCCUACCAAUAUUUAAUGGAGUAUUUAACUAUUGAAGUUACAGAUUUAGAACAACUCAAAAUUGAAGAAAAUAAUUUCAAUUAUUCUCAACGUAAUAAAGUUUUGUCAAAAAAAAACUAAAAACGGCUGUGACAUCCUAUCAAACUUCAGUAUUAUGGCUAUGCUGUUAUAAAACUAAGGCCUCAAUCACAACCACUGAAGGUUUUACCGGUAGUUAUUUUUAAUUGCCUCUAAGCAUAGUAUGGAAGUUAUCUACCCAGAUUAUUCUUUAUUGUACUCAGAGAUAUAAAUAAAGUCUUUGAUUGUACUCAUUGAUAAAUUCUGCUGUUGGUAUGUGUUUCUGAUUGUACAUAUAAAAUAAACGAUACUGAACGGA
Long non-coding RNA from Maniola jurtina (meadow brown), 425 nucleotides. RefSeq lists it as uncharacterized. Lineage: Eukaryota; Metazoa; Arthropoda; Insecta; Lepidoptera; Nymphalidae. The transcript has 2 exons. The record is from RefSeq and is a predicted model, not a curated record.